ACGUAGGGUGCAAGCGUUGUCCGGAAUUACUGGGUGUAAAGGGGGCGCAGGCGGACCGGCAAGUUGGAAGUGAAAUCCAUGGGCUCAACCCGUGAAUUGCUUUCAAAACUGCUGGCCUUGAGUAGUGCAGAGGUAGGUGGAAUUCCCGGUGUAGCGGUGGAAUGCGUAGAUAUCGGGAGGAACACCAGUGGCGAAGGCGACCUACUGGGCACCAACUGACGCUGAGGCUCGAAAGCAUGGGUAGCAAACAG
RNAcentral lists this ribosomal RNA (251 nucleotides) under uncultured bacterium. Its description in RNAcentral is "partial 16S ribosomal RNA". It matches the Rfam family "Bacterial small subunit ribosomal RNA", at positions 525 to 775 of the family's 1533-position model. The record is from RNAcentral.